ACAAAUAAAAAUAAUGAUAGAUACUAAGAAAUACUUUUAGAUUUUCUUGUUGCGUAAUUAUCACAUCAAAGAAAAAGAGCUGGUGAAACCUAUAAAUGUUCAGCAAUUCUCAACCUAGUUACAUUGUCUAUGUAUUUUCACCUGAGAAACUUAGUUACUCCUACAUGUUGGGAUCAAUCUUGCUGAAAACAUCUCCACUAAGAAGAGGAUUCAACUCAUCAAUUUGUUCAAGACAAUGUCUUCAUCUACACUGAAAUACUGUGCAUAAAAAAAGGGCAUCCCUGCAUAAAAGAAAUUCCUUUGACAUUAAAUAAUCUAUUUCAGGUGUUUAUGGAUUGCUUUCCGUUUGCCUCUGCAUAAGGUAGGUAGUUAAAAUUUACCACUUAACAAAAGGCCAGUAGAACAGUAACUGAAGAGAGAAAAGCCAUUAGGGGCACUCAUUUCUUGACCCGGAAAACUGAUUCAUAAGGAAGGGGAUCUACACCAGGUAAGGAGUUUAUGACCAGUCCCCAUAUAGAUACUUUAAUUCACAUUGUUUUGGGCAGUACCCUUCUUACUGAAAAAGAUUUUGAGAGUCAUAUAACUAAAGGAAAGCAUAUAGCUACAAUUGAGAUGUGGAGCAAUAGAACAUUGUGAAAUGGUGUCGACAAACCACCCUCAUCACAACAAUAACUUAAGGCUUGAGUAAGAAUGUGAAACUGCAAAUCUGAAUGUUGCGCAUAAAUUUAUCCAUAUACUAUCGAGCGCCUAUUAACUCUUUCUGAUGAUUAUAUGUUAUUAUGUCGUCUUUGUCACUAUUCAAUGGUUAGUAAUAUAUGUCAUAUUUAGGGCCAAAGUAGCUUCAGUGGGUACUAAAAGAAUCAAUAUUAUCCCCUUAAGAGAUGAAAAUUUUCUGAAUUGGAUAAAACAACUGAGACGACAUGUCUUCCAAAGAAGCACUUCUCUUUAAGUGUAAAUUUGAGCAAAUAACGUGUAUAUUUUAGUUAUAAUAACAAAGUGUACUUUAAGGAUAAUAUGAUAAUAAGUAUAUAAAGAGAUCUAAAAUAAAGAAUAGAAGAAAAAACGAAACUUGAAAAAUGAAGCAAUAGCAGUAUUAUUUUACACUUACAAGUUUCCAAUUCUUUACUCCAAAUCACUUGCUUCAUCCAACAAUUUAACAUUGUUGUGGUCCUAGUCUCCUAGACCUUUGUAAUUUGUAGUAUUCUAUUGAAUGAAGUAUCUAAUAAUUUAAUGAUUCAAUGAAGUGAAACAAACGCCUCGGACUUAAUAAUUCAUGAACAAGAAUGGAUGACAAAAUUAUUUUUAAAUUUAUAUCUUAAAAAUAUUCAAUGGUUAAUCUUUACUUCAUAUUUUUUUCAAAGUUAUCUAACAAUGAAUUUACUGGUUGAUCUUUAAUAUAUAAUCAACCUUAUAUCUCUUCAGUUGUUGGCUAAUCAUAUGUUGUUCAUUGUUGAAGUAUGGACUCAAUGUACGAAUUAAAAGAAAAUGGAUAAAAUAUUUACCAAGGCAUAUUAAUUUUCUUUCAAUUGAUUAGGCUUCAACCGAUCUUUGUACGCAAUAGGCCUGCAUUAAGCAUAUAGAAUUUCAAAAAUUAGCCACAACACUGCAACAAAGAGUGAUGUAUUCUAAUUCGCAGGAACAAAUCUUGAAUAAAGUAACGUACUAAGGCAAGUAUAAGCGGAAAAGGUCCAAAUAUGCCCUUAUACUAUACGAAAUUGAGCACAUUUGCCCUUCGUUAAUACUUUAGCUCAAAUAUACCCUUACCGUCAUAUAGUUGGCCCAUAUAUGCCCUUAGAGUUACACNNNNNNNNNNNNNNNNNNNNNNNNNCUAAAAAAUUUAACAAAGUAAGAUUGAAAUAAUAUUUAUGUAACCAAAAAUUCGAAAAUCCAACAAAACCGAACAAUCCAAACCGAUAUAAUUGGUUUGGUUUGAUUUUGAUAAAAAAUCAAAAUCAAACCAACCCGUUCCAUGUACACCCCAAAUCUACAUAGUUAAUAAAAAAAAUAAAAAGUGUCCAGCUGAAAAAAAGACUAACAACUCAAAUUUAUAACACUACAACUUGAACUCUAGGCUUUUAAUCAUUAAAUUAUCUUUCUGAAAAUAAUUUAAAUAUUUUAGUUUUUUGAGUAUUGUUAAAGGUUGAGAUAUUUUUAUUAUUUUAAAGUUUAAACCAUAAUUUUUGGAAUAAUUUAAUUUCAUUUAUUUAGAGGGCCAGUGAAAUUGGAACUUGAUUACCUUAUGGGAGAAUUUUCUUAGUAAUUGGAAAUCAUGAGUUUUGUCAAGUGAAAUUGGUGACGAAAAUAGAGAAGACAUUAGUAAUGGAGAAAACGGAUAAGGGAGAAAGAAAAAGGGAAAAAAAAGAAGAAAAGAAAAAAGAAGAAAGAAAAGAGAAAGGUAAAGAAAAAAAAAUACUAAUAAAAAAGAAAUAGUAUUUGUAAUACACUUUAAUACAAUUAAAGAAAGAGCUAAUUAGUUUGGGUGAAUUUCAUUUCGAAAAGGACAUAUAUGGGCCAACUGUGUGACUCUAAGGUCAUAUAUGGACCAACUAUGUGACGGUAAGGACAUAUUUGAGCUAAAGUAUUAACGAAGGGCAAAUGUGCUCAAUUUCGUAUAGUAUAAGGGCAUAUUUGGACCUUUGCCCGUAAUUUAUAUGAAGAGGUAAGAGGAGAUGAAGAGGAAGAUAUUAUUUUUUGGUAACGGAUAGGAAAAUAAUUGCAAACACCUAUGGUUCGGCUUCAUCCCUCUUGCCUUACCUUCAAGAGGAUGAGAUCCAACAAUAUCGCUCUUAACACCCUGAAGCCCAAAGUGAAACGCAUUGUUCCUCACUCUCUCGAUUUCGUGUUGAUAACCUUUGAGUUUGGUGACCAACAUAUUCAAAACUCGUAGCGUCGAUAUUUUGAAUUCGCUAUAAUCGUUAGCCUCAGUAAUUCCCACAAGUAGCUCAAAAGAUGAUAUAAAUCAAGAGAACAUUCAGAAAGUAAAAAAAAAAAAAAAAAAAUUCCCGAAGCUGAACUAUAAUAUGAUCAGAAUGCCAUAAAAGAUCACAUGAAGCUCCAAGAGAAUGCUAUGUCAAUAGGGUCAAAUAACUUUGUGCUCCUUGAAAAAGAAACAGAGAUUUUAAGAAUAAGUUUUUGUAAGCAAUUUAGUAUAAAAUUAAUAGUAAUUAAAAAGCACGUUUGUAUAAAUCCACUUUAUUAAAUGUAGUUCCGGAUGCUUGAGCUCUAAGAUACUAAAAUCAAACCUGCAAAAGUCUUCAAUUAAAAAGCGCUAGUAAUCUGCCAAAGUAUCAUUAACAAAAAAAGGAAAAAGGCAACUACCUUUAGUUUACUUCUUCAUGGAAAAGCAUCCGUUAUGGCAGCGUCAAAGUCCAUUUCUCUAUUUUUUUUAGUUUAUACUCUAUGUCAAAGAAGAACCAAAUUUGAAAUAUUAGAGUUUAGCUUGGCCUAAUUGCUGAUUAAUUUUUGUCAUAUUACAAAAAAAUAAGAGAAAAGCUAGACGUGUCAAAGAAAUGAAUUAUUACUUGCAAUAAUCAUAGUGAACUGCACUAUGAGUCGAAAUACAAUUUUAAAGCAAUGAUUGUUCUUCAAGAUCAGUUUUAAGAUAUGCAUUCGCGAGAAGAACUCUAUUUAAAACAUGUUUUACAUUAUGUACUUAUUCAAAUAUCAUUCGGUGAAUGAUUCAGGCAUAUCAUCAAACAUCUUGGGUGCAUAGUCCACUUUAAUGAUUAUCAUUAAGACUACUCAAUAAACACACGAUUAAAAGAAGGAGGGAGAGAAAGUAGAGAACUUAACUGAAAAAAUAGGUGCAUCUUCGUUCAUCUUCCGCUUUCUCUUCUGAAUAGAAGAGAUUGUCACACAAGCAGUUGUGCAGAUCAUCCAUCCUCAUCUUUCCUUGUUCGUCUCUUCCUUUUUGGAACUGGAUCUACUGAUAAAGUUAUUCUUACAGGAACAAAUAACAAUAGAAAACACAAAUUACGAGACCUAAUCUUAUAGCAUCAAUUUUGAUACCUUGCAAUUAGGUACGAUCACUCAAGAAAUUAUUCAAAACAAUCGAAAACUAACACCCGAGAAAUUACCAACAGAAGAAGUUCAAGUUUUGCAUAUCAUCAAACAUCUUGGAUGCAUAGUCCACUUCAAUGGGAAUUUAGAAAUUACAAACAGAAAAAGUUCAAGUUUUGCAUGUAAAGCAGACUACUUUGAGAAUUUAGAGAGGAAAUGAAGUGCUCCACAAAUAGGAAAUUUCAUUAUACUUUGAAAUCCUAAUAGAAAGAUAUGUUGGUAGAAUGGUUAGAAUUAUAUAAAAAGUUCUGAAAAUGUUACAACUGCAAAAAUAACUGCACAACCGAUACAAAAUGGAUCGAUGUUUCCGAUAUUGAGUCCACGUUCCCAGAGAUUCUCCCUUAAACUUCCUGA
This 4413-nucleotide long non-coding RNA is filed under the name Nicotiana tabacum (common tobacco). Its description in RNAcentral is "long non-coding RNA (NTAB_LNC013087)". The record is from RNAcentral. Lineage: Eukaryota; Viridiplantae; Streptophyta; Magnoliopsida; Solanales; Solanaceae.